This 901-nucleotide ribosomal RNA is filed under the name uncultured bacterium. RNAcentral describes it as "bacterial SSU rRNA". It matches the Rfam family "Bacterial small subunit ribosomal RNA", at positions 8 to 898 of the family's 1533-position model. The record is from RNAcentral.
AGAGUUUGAUCCUGGCUCAGAUUGAACGCUGGCGGUAUGCUUAACACAUGCAAGUCGAACGGUAACAGGCAAAAGCUUGCUUUUGCGCUGACGAGUGGCGGACGGGUGAGUAACGCGUAGGAAUCUGCCUAGUAGUGGGGGACAACCUGGUGAAAACCAGGCUAAUACCGCAUACGCCCUACGGGGGAAAGCGGGGGAUCUUCGGACCUCGCGCUAUUAGAUGAGCCUGCGUUAGAUUAGCUAGUUGGUGGGGUAAAGGCCUACCAAGGCGACGAUCUAUAGCUGGUCUGAGAGGACGAUCAGCCACACUGGGACUGAGACACGGCCCAGACUCCUACGGGAGGCAGCAGUGGGGAAUAUUGGACAAUGGGCGAAAGCCUGAUCCAGCAAUACCGCGUGUGUGAAGAAGGCCUGAGGGUUGUAAAGCACUUUCAAUUGGGAGGAAAAGCUAAUUAUUAAUAGUAAUUAGCCUUGACGUUACCUUUAGAAGAAGCACCGGCUAACUCCGUGCCAGCAGCCGCGGUGAUACGGAGGGUGCAAGCGUUAAUCGGAAUUACUGGGCGUAAAGCGCGCGUAGGUGGUUAUUUAAGUCAGAUGUGAAAGCCCCGGGCUUAACCUGGGAACUGCAUUUGAUACUGGAUAACUAGAGUUUGGUGGAGGGGAGUGGAAUUUCCUGUGUAGCGGUGAAAUGCGUAGAUAUAGGAAGGAACACCAGUGGCGAAGGCGGCUCUCUGGACCAAAACUGACGCUGAGGUGCGAAAGCGUGGGUAGCAAACGGGAUUAGAUACCCCGGUAGUCCACGCCGUAAACGAUGUCAACUAGCCGUUGGGCCUAUUAAAGGCUUAGUGGCGGAGCUAACGUAUUAAGUUGACCGCCUGGGGAGUACGGCCGCAAGGCUAAA